UACAGAGGGGGCAAGCGUUGUCCGGAAUUAUUGGGCGUAAAGAGCUCGUAGGCGGUUUGUCGCGUCUGCUGUGAAAUCCCGAGGCUCAACCUCGGGCUUGCAGUGGGUACGGGCAGACUAGAGUGCGGUAGGGGAGACUGGAAUUCCUGGUGUAGCGGUGGAAUGCGCAGAUAUCGGGAGGAACACCGAUGGCGAAGGCAGGUCUCUGGGCCGCAACUGACGCUGAGGAGCGAAAGCAUGGGGAGCGAACAGG
RNAcentral lists this ribosomal RNA (253 nucleotides) under uncultured bacterium. RNAcentral describes it as "partial 16S ribosomal RNA". It matches the Rfam family "Bacterial small subunit ribosomal RNA", at positions 524 to 776 of the family's 1533-position model. The record is from RNAcentral.